AUUGAACGCUGGCGGCAUGCCUUACACAUGCAAGUCGAACGGCAGCACGGGUGCUUGCCCCUGGUGGCGAGUGGCGAACGGGUGAGUAAUACAUCGGAACAUGUCCUGUAGUGGGGGAUAGCCCGGCGAAAGCCGGAUUAAUACCGCAUACGAUCUACGGAUGAAAGCGGGGGACCUUCGGGCCUCGCGCUAUAGGGUUGGCCGAUGGCUGAUUAGCUAGUUGGUGGGGUAAAGGCCUACCAAGGCGACGAUCAGUAGCUGGUCUGAGAGGACGACCAGCCACACUGGGACUGAGACACAGCCCAGACUCCUACGGGAGGCAGCAGUGGGGAAUUUUGGACAAUGGGCGAAAGCCUGAUCCAGCAAUGCCGCGUGUGUGAAGAAGGCCUUCGGGUUGUAAAGCACUUUUGUCCGGAAAGAAAUCCUUGGCCCUAAUACGGUCGGGGGAUGACGGUACCGGAAGAAUAAGCACCGGCUAACUACGUG
This 486-nucleotide ribosomal RNA is filed under the name uncultured bacterium. RNAcentral describes it as "partial 16S ribosomal RNA". It matches the Rfam family "Bacterial small subunit ribosomal RNA", at positions 30 to 507 of the family's 1533-position model. The record is from RNAcentral.